This 353-nucleotide transfer-messenger RNA is filed under the name Planctomycetota. Its description in RNAcentral is "UBA8108 sp913042995 Standard tmRNA". It matches the Rfam family "transfer-messenger RNA". From Rfam's summary of the family: Bacterial tmRNA, also known as 10Sa RNA or SsrA, is named for its dual tRNA and mRNA-like properties. Its role is to liberate the mRNA from a stalled ribosome. RNAcentral also lists the same sequence under 1 other name. The record is from RNAcentral. Lineage: Bacteria; Pseudomonadati.
GGGGGCGACCAGGAUUCGACCGGAUUUAGGAAGCGUGGGUUGCAGGAUGAGGUUGCCAGGAGGCCUCAUAAAACCCCUGGUACAUUUUAGUUGGCAAUAACCAACUUGCACUGGCUGCCUAAAGCGGCCCCCUCGCCAGAUUCCCUGCCCCUGGGAGUUUGACCGAGGGCCACCAAUAGGGGCUGGCUUCCGAUCCCCGUCUCCGGGUGAAGAAGCGAGAUUUAUGGAGACUGGCCGAUGCGUAUCCCGUUCUUUGGAGCCGCUGAAGCGAGAACCCAAAUAAAGAACUAUUCCUGUAGACGCUUACGUGGAUUGAUCUCGGGACGGGGGUUCGAUUCCCCCCGCCUCCACCA